CAACAGGGAUUGCCUUAGUAACUGCNAGUGAAGCGGCAAAAGCUCAAAUUUGAAAUCUGGCGUCUUCGACGUCCGANUUGUAAUUUGGAGGGAUAUCUUCGGGGAUGGCGCCGUCCUAANUUCCUUGGAACAGGACNUCAUANAGGGUGAGAAUCCCGUGCCUGGAUGGCUGUCCAUCUCCAUGUGAANUGUCUCCGACNANUCNAGUUGUUUGGGAAUGCANCUCAAAAUGGGUGGUAAAUUUCAUCUAAAGCUAAAUAUUGGCGANAGACCGAUAGCGCACAAUUAGAGUGAUCGAAANAUGAAAANCACUUUGAAAAGAAAGUUAAAAANUACNUGAAAUUGUUGAAAGGGAAGCGCUUGCNACCAGACUCGAUCUUUGGUGAUCAGCCGGGCUUCUGUCCGGUGCACUUGCCACUGAUCGGGCCAGCAUCGGUUCUGANGGCGGGAUAAAAGGUUGGGGAAUGUACCUUCUCUCGGGGAAUGUUAUACCCCAGUCAUAAUGCCCCAUCGGGACCNAGGACCGCCCUNCGCUANGAUCUGGCGUAUGGUCU
Molecule: ribosomal RNA, 554 nt
Filed under: Scutellinia sp. EP-1999
Lineage: Eukaryota; Fungi; Ascomycota; Pezizomycetes; Pezizales; Pyronemataceae
Description: partial large subunit ribosomal RNA
Rfam family: Eukaryotic large subunit ribosomal RNA
Source: RNAcentral